Monodelphis domestica (gray short-tailed opossum) is the source of this 347-nucleotide long non-coding RNA. RefSeq lists it as uncharacterized. Lineage: Eukaryota; Metazoa; Chordata; Mammalia; Didelphimorphia; Didelphidae. The record is from RefSeq and is a predicted model, not a curated record.
CAGGAAGCGCGCCCUCUGCAAUGGCGGCUCUGGGCAACUGUCUAACGGCUUCCGAUGUCGACCUCGAUCUUAUUUUCUUUCCCAAGAGCUCAAGCUCAAACAUCUACUGGAGAACAAUCCAAAACCAAACCCUGAAGAAUGGAGAGAGAGGCUGGACCUGUGACUUCAACGAUCUGAGAGCUCCAGCAAUGUGAAUCUGCUCCUUCUCUACAGCUUAUCAUCUUAAGCAAGGUGCACACAACACUAGGCCCCUCUUUAGCAGUUUGGCAAAGCCUAUGAAUCCCUUCAUCAGAUGUUUCAAAAUACCUAAAAUAAAACAGGUACAAUUAAAAAGGAAAUUAAAACUA